GAUCCUGGCUCAGGAUGAACGCUGGCGGCGUGCUAACGCAUGCAAGUCGAACGAAGCAUUCCAACUCUCGGAGGAAGAAAUGACUGAGUGGCGGACGGGUGAGUAACGCGUGGGUAACCUGCCUUAUACAGGGGGAUAACAGUUAGAAAUGACUGCUAAUACCGCAUAACCCGCUAGUACCGCAUGGUACAGACGGAAAAGAUUUAUCGGUAUAAGAUGGACCCGCGUCUGAUUAGCUAGUUGGUGAGGUAAUGGCUCACCAAGGCGACGAUCAGUAGCCGGCUUGAGAGAGUGAACGGCCACACUGGGACUGAGACACGGCCCAAACUCCUACGGGAGGCAGCAGUGGGGAAUAUUGCACAAUGGGGGAAACCCUGAUGCAGCAACGCCGCGUGAAGGAAGAAGUAUUUCGGUAUGUAAACUUCUAUCAGCAGGAAAGAAAAUGACGGUACCUGACUAAGAAGCCCCGGCUAACUACGUGCCAGCCGCAGC
RNAcentral lists this ribosomal RNA (492 nucleotides) under uncultured bacterium. Its description in RNAcentral is "bacterial SSU rRNA". It matches the Rfam family "Bacterial small subunit ribosomal RNA", at positions 15 to 518 of the family's 1533-position model. The record is from RNAcentral.